RNAcentral lists this long non-coding RNA (594 nucleotides) under Ananas comosus (pineapple). Its description in RNAcentral is "long non-coding RNA (ACOM_LNC020499)". Lineage: Eukaryota; Viridiplantae; Streptophyta; Magnoliopsida; Poales; Bromeliaceae. The record is from RNAcentral.
AAAUGGUAUACCAAUGAUAAUAUUAUUACUAUGAGUUAAGCUAAAAUAUUAUCAGUAGUAAAUAGACUCUCUUGCUAUUUAUUUGUUUUCAAUGAUGGAGCCUCCAAAUUAACAAUCGGUAUCGUUGAAUAUAAUUUAUAUCACUUGCAGUAUUUAGAAAACAAAUUUCAAAUUUUUUCGACAUCAUUGACCUAAUGAUCAAAAUGUUUCAAAAUUAUUAAUUUUGAAAGUCGAUAUGAAGCGUUUUUACAUUUAACAGUAUAAAGAUAUCCAAAUUAAUUAAAUUUUGGUUAGAAAAUUUUUUAAACUAUUUAGAAUAAGAUUUAUACUCUCGAUCUUGAUUACAAGAUUCCUAUCAUCAUUUUUUAAAGUAUAUUCAUUCUUAGCCGUUCAUUUUUAUUUCUACUUGAUGGACAAAAGAAUAAUAUUGAGAAAAUAUGAAAUUUGAUUUCUAAAUGUUUCAAAUGGUAUAAAUUAUAUUCAAUGGUGCCGAUCAUUAAUUCGGAGGCUCCAUCAUCGAAAAUAAAUGAGUGGCAAUAAAACUCGUUUGCUGCCGAUAGAAUUCCCACUCAACUCUUAUUACUGUUACUAUUU